CAAGUAGAGUACUACGUAGCAGCUCUGUGUCAAAGUUAUAAAAGCAUCGAGCGUCUCGGCCACGCCUUGUGGCGAGUUGGGAGUUGGAUUUGCAAGUGAGUGUAGGACGGUUAGCGGUAGUUCAGCAUUAGCAUAUAGCAUUAGCAUAUCCUAGUCUUUAGCAUAGUUUUUAGUGUUAUAAAUACAUAUUUAGUGUUAGUUUGGCUGUUGGAUAUUGUAGUUUAGUUGGUCUUUGGCUGUUAGUGUAAUUAGGAAAGUAGUUUGGGUUUAGUGCUCCAUAUCGUGUUAGUAUGGUGAGAAGGUGUAGUGUAGUAUGGUUGCGGUGGCUCUGUGGGGUUGCACUCCUUUCCGCUGGACAAAUUAGGCGCCAGUGGUAGCACGCAAUCGGUGUCUGGAAAAUAUUCAGCUCCCGCCUGGUGCUGUAGUUUGCAACCAGCAUUUUACCUGCGAUUCUGCACGUCUCCGUUUGAAGAGGGAGGCUGUGCCCACCGUGGCUCUUCCGCGAUUUAGAUGCAGCCCACCGCCUCUGCUCCCCCACCAUGGCGGGCUCCAGUCUGAGGUGAGUAACCUAAAUAAAAGUUUUGACAUCUUCUAAAGACAAUUCCCUACCUAAAUGCAAAGUCUGAGAGACGUGGUUCACUUCCUUUAGCUAGUCAGUCGGUAAUUCUGCAACAGUGUCUCUAACUAACGCAGCACUAGUUGACAGACAGCAUUACAGCGUGAAAUCCAGCUUGUGACCCGGUUCUGUAAGGAAUUCUGUUCAGGGGGUCGCAUUUCAGGCUCUCCACAUCAUAUGUGACUGACUUUUACGUUAUAACAACGAUCACACACUAGGAAUGUUAUAAAGCGCCUAUAUAGGACAGUUUCUUUUGUAUAUUAUCUGACUUUAUAAACUCCCAACAACAAUGUAUUUCUAUUUCUUUUGUCAGGCAAAAUCUACCCAAGACACUGGCUGUCAUACUGAUUUAGAUGCAACAAUGCACUUGUCCAGGCUGACGUGAAGCCUUACCCAUAGCAAAGGUGAAUUAUUUUUAAUAAUCUUCUAUGUAAACAUUUUACUUCUAGUUUUAAUUAGUUUUACAGAUUAUUGUUACACGUGAUUUUAUGCUCUUUUAAACAUUUAUAAAUGUGCUGCUACUUUGUUUUUACAUAGUCAGCCAGAAUAGAGCUCACAGCCGCAGUGUGUCUUGUGACACAGGGACCAUGACGGAAAUUCAUCUUCCAGAAAGUCCGAGAGCAGCGUCCACACCCCUGAAAAGACCAAGAUGUGAGGUGUCUGCUGUUGAUUCCAGCUUCCACCUCAGUGACAGUGCAAGCUCAGUGAACUGUUCAAGGAGGCUACUGAUUCUGCUCCUGUGACACUUGGUGGUGACGUGUGAGCUGAUUCACCUGGACACUCAGCAAAAUAUGGACUCUACACCAUGAGGCAGGCACACGUUAAUACUCUAUAAGAGCACAUAAGCCUGGCUGAUCACCUGAUAACUCCUGUCAUCUGGUUGUGACAGCAUGAGGAUGUCCUCACACACCUGUAACCUAUCAGCUCAUCUGGCAGAAUAGAGAGAGAAGAGACAACACCACAUCUCCUGUUCCUGGAAAGCCUUCAGCCAUCCUUCGAUGACUGAGAACCUCCAUCAGCUCUGUCUCCUGUCUGCCUACAAUUAUUAUAAUAAAUAUUGUGUUUGACAAGUUU
Non-coding RNA from Nothobranchius furzeri (turquoise killifish), 1690 nucleotides. NCBI's taxonomy places the organism in Eukaryota, Metazoa, Chordata, Actinopteri, Cyprinodontiformes, Nothobranchiidae. The record is from RefSeq and is a predicted model, not a curated record.